This 252-nucleotide ribosomal RNA is filed under the name uncultured Flavobacterium sp. RNAcentral's name for it is "partial 16S ribosomal RNA". It matches the Rfam family "Bacterial small subunit ribosomal RNA", at positions 9 to 255 of the family's 1533-position model. The record is from RNAcentral. Lineage: Bacteria; Pseudomonadati; Bacteroidota; Flavobacteriia; Flavobacteriales; Flavobacteriaceae.
GAGUUUGAUCCUGGCUCAGGAUGAACGCUAGCGGCAGGCCUAAUACAUGCAAGUCGAGGGGCAGCGCGGGUAGCAAUACCUGGCGGCGACCGGCGCACGGGUGCGUAACGCGUAUGCAAUCUGCCUUUUACUGGAGGGAUAGCCCAGAGAAAUUUGGAUUAAUACCUCAUAGUAUUAUUGGAAUGGCAUCAUUUGAUAAUUAAAGUUCCAACGGUAAAAGAUGAGCAUGACGUCCCAUUAGCUAGAUGGUAA